UGGCACCCCCGCGUGAUGGCUAAUACACCAGAUCCCAUCAGAACUC
RNAcentral lists this ribosomal RNA (46 nucleotides) under Struthiopteris spicant. Lineage: Eukaryota; Viridiplantae; Streptophyta; Polypodiopsida; Polypodiales; Blechnaceae. The record is from RNAcentral.